GAUCCUGGCUCAGAACGAACGCUGGCGGCAGGCCUAACACAUGCAAGUCGAGCGCGCCCUUCGGGGUGAGCGGCGGACGGGUUAGUAACGCGUGGGAACGUACCCUUUGGUAGGGAAUAGCCACUGGAAACGGUGAGUAAUACCCUAUGAGCCCUUCGGGGGAAAGAUUUAUCGCCAAAGGAUCGGCCCGCGUUAGAUUAGGUAGUUGGUGGGGUAAUGGCCUACCAAGCCUACGAUCUAUAGCUGGUUUUUAGAGGAUGAUCAGCAACACUGGGACUGAGACACGGCCCAGACUCCUACGGGAGGCAGCAGUGGGGAAUCUUGGACAAUGGGGGCAACCCUGAUCCCAGCCAUGCCGCGUGAGUGAAGAAGGCCUUAGGGUCGUAAAGCUCUUUCGCCUGUGAAGAUAAUGACGGUAGCAGGUAAAGAAACCCCGGCUAACUCCGUGCCAGCAGCAGC
This 459-nucleotide ribosomal RNA is filed under the name uncultured bacterium. Its description in RNAcentral is "bacterial SSU rRNA". It matches the Rfam family "Bacterial small subunit ribosomal RNA", at positions 15 to 518 of the family's 1533-position model. The record is from RNAcentral.